Long non-coding RNA from Ictalurus punctatus (channel catfish), 727 nucleotides. Lineage: Eukaryota; Metazoa; Chordata; Actinopteri; Siluriformes; Ictaluridae. The record is from Ensembl.
CAAACUUACACAUUCAACACAUGAAUAAAUGACCGUGGAUUAACAGCGGAAUAAACAACAACAACAACAACAACAAAGCAUGUUCUUACCUUUAGAAGAUUUUCUUUCUUAUUCGUCCUGGCAGCAAAUUUCCCUGAUAAGGGUUGUAAAGUCCAAUCUCGGCCGGAUUUCAUGUUCGUUCCCCCGAUCUCCACCGACUGACGAUCACCAAAUCAUUUACAUCCGAAAGUAAAGACCUUCCGAGGAGAAAACACCAGCCAUGCUCUGACCAUUUCUCAAAUUAUCAUCACAACACUUCUAGUUAAUGAGACUGGCAGGGACCCAGACCAUGGGACUGUGCAGCACACUGGAGCUUCCACUUGCUGAGGCGGUUCACUAACGCACUGAUCAUUUAUCUACCACUGGCUCAGAUUAUUACCUUCUAGCAGCUUCUAGGAGUUUAAAACAUUAAACAUCUGGACAAACACAAACAGAAGAAAUGUUCCUAAUUCUGUUCCUGAUUUUUAAAGUAUAAAUUGUUUUAGUUAAAUCGUGUUUAAUCAAGUUUAUGGACUGGAUUCAACAACCGCCCUUAUACUUCCAUUAUCAGUCACUCAAGAAAUCAGACUGUACAGCUCCUCCCCUUCUCUAAAACAUAACACACACCGAAAUGCUGCCCUGUUGUUGAGUUACUGCUUUUUGAACAUGUACCGUUAUAAAGAAUAUUUCUGUUUUGCUUGUUUACUUU